UGUGAUGCUCUGAGUUCAAGAGUGUUUCCCUUGAAAGCUUGCUGUCCUAUGUGUUAUGCUUUAUGCCUUAACUCCGUGUAGUUGGGUCCCUAGCUCCUUGUUAUUUAAUAUAGAUGUCUUUCAGAAAAGAAAUUAAUAGAAAAGUAUACCCAUAUGAUCAAGGAACCUUCCAUGUUACGUAUCCUCCACUAUAUCCAUAUACUUUCAAGUAUUCUUUUCCUAAUGUGGAGUAUUGAUCAGAGAUUCCUUCUUAGCAAUCUUAAGGGAAGGAAAAAGGAUAGGAAGAAAUUGUCAAUUUUAGAGUUAAAGACCUCAUGUUGGUGAGUUUAAUUUAGGUGAAAAUGAGUAUAAGUUGAGUUUGUAUUUUUCCUCUUUUUGUUUCUAAUAAUCUUUUAUAUGCUUCAAAUUAACUUACGACCAAGAUUUUCUUAGUUUUAACUUUUUAAUGGUAGGUAUACAUUAAUUUUAUUCUUCUUUUACUUAAUUUGAUGAUGUAUUUUUUAAAAUUCUAAUUGAUCAUCGAUUAAAUUCAACAUAGCUAUUACUGUAGUUUUAGAAAAAACAAUAGCUUAAAAUUUCACAAACUAUAAAUUUGACUACACUUACUCAGGUUUGCAAGAUAUGUUUGCAAUAAUGACCAAGAAUUCAAAUUUAGCAACAAGCUUAUACAGUGGCUAAAAAUACAAUUUCAUAGACAAACUAAUUGCAAUAUCACUAUAUUAAACAAAUAGGUACAUACAAUGAUGAGCUUUAUAUAAUUAACUUAAUCAUAGAAUCACACUAAUAUUUAAACGUUAGAUUUUACUAGAGCACCGUCAGUUUGUGACUAAAACCAUUUACCAAGUGGCUAUACCACGUGUAUAUAGUGAUGCGCCUAAUUUACACAUUGUUAAUAUUUUUGGAUUUGUGAAAAUGAACAUAGAUCAUUAAUUAAGAUAGUUCUAAUAGUUGAUCAAAUCUAUAUAUAUAUAUUUUGGAUUUGUAUAUUUUUCAAAAUUGCAAUAAUGAUGGUUUUUCAGGGUAUGUUGGUCCUUUUAAGUUGUAUAUAGUUAGAGAAACUUGUAUCAAAUGAUAAAAACAUUUAAAAAAACAAUUUAUGACAUCAUUUUUUUUAUAUUACGAAUAUGGUAAAAUUAGUGAUAUCAGACAGCUAUCAAACGGUAAUCAUAAGGCUAUCAAAUGAUCAUCAUUUUUAAAUUUGCUACUUUUACAAAUUUAGAAAAUUUCAUGACAUGAACUUUAUUAUCGUAAUUUCUCUUGCUAUUUUUGCAAAAGUCCUUACUUUCCCGCUACAAGUUUGAUUGCAUUAGUUUAUAUUUUUUGUUGAGCUUGCUACCAUGCUUAAGCUAUAUAUAUAUAUAACAUAUUAAAGUUUAAAUAAGUUUUCCCUAACACACCAUAUAACACAUCCACUAUGUUAGUUUGCCAUCUUUAUAUGCUAUUUACAUCUUUUUAUCUCAGAGUUUAGAAGAAGUGUGGUGUAUAAAUUCUUUAACUCUAGAGAGGCACUUCUAUUAUGUAUUCUGAAUUAUAUUUCUAAUACAUUGGUUCUUCUUCAAUUCUAUGAAUGUAGCUAACACACUGUUAGUGAACCAUGUAAAUCUAUGCGUUAAUUUUUAUUAUUAUUUUAUGUUUUUUUGUUUUCUUUAUAAUUCAUUGAUUUUCUUAACUAUUUGAAUUUGUAAUUCUAUUUUUGAGUUGGACAUAUUUGAAUGAACAAUUUAAAUCAUCGUUCUCUAAAUCACGAGAGCAUAGGUCUAAACUAGUGAAAAUAAUUAUGCUUAACUAGGUUAACAUUGAUACUGAGUUUUGUUGGACUCUUUAUAUCUUUGAACAAAUCUAAUUAAGCUACACAAUUAAACGUGCAACAAACACCCAAACUAAUUAUUCAAAAAAAAAUCCAACAUUUGACGAUUGAUUGUCACAACCAACUUUCGAACCCACUUAUGCAACAAAACUGAUCUAAUGGCUAACUCUAACAAAGACCACCUCCAACUCUCAAUCUUGGUGAAAUGACCACCUCUUGAUUAACUUCAACGACUACUUCUGGCAGCCAACUUCAAUGAUUGUCUCUAAUGUGUGACAUCCAACAACAACUUUAUUGAUCACUCCAGCAACCAGAGUUCAUUGUAGUUCAUAGUCUUCUUCUAUAAUAAAAGCACUUUGAUUAUAUCAAAACAAACAAACUUAAAUGUGAAAACGCUUCUUUUGGAGAAUAUAUAUGUGUAUAUAUAACAAAUGAAUGCUUUUUUAGAUAAUUUUUAUAAAGGCAUUGAAAUAAAAAUGAAAAAAAAAAAUUGCCUAAUCAAAUCCAAAUGUCCUCUAAUGCAACUUGUUUGCAAGAGUCUCUUCAAAAAUUUUAUGGGAAAAAAAUGUCAUUCAUAAAAUUAAACCAAAGGCUAAAAAACUAUUUCAAGGGUUCUUCUAUAACAAUUUAUAUAUUUUAAUUCAAUUGAUAUAAUAUAUAGUUUAUUAUAGUAUAUUCAAGCUUUUCUUCAAUAAACAUUGUUUGAUGAACCAUUUUUUUUAAUAAUCGUUUAUUUACGUUUGACGUGUCACUGUUAGAUAUACAUUUGUGUUUUAUAUGCAUGGAGUUAGAGAUGUUGGUUGCCUUUUCAUCUGAUCUUACGUAUUUGGUGCAUAUCAACCUUGUUUAAUUUUCACCAUUUCCAUACCCAUCUCUUACCUAAAAGAAACCUUGAAAUUUUUAAGUAUAUAUAUAUUACUGAGCUUUAGUUAUAUAGUAUUUUCAAUUUAGUCUCUGUAGAUUUUCUUUUCUUUUUUUUUUUGUUUGCCAUACACACACACUAUUUUACCAUCCUAUUCGAAUAAUAGGGCAUGGGGAUGGGCAUGAAUGGAAACUAAAAUAUGUAGAGUUUUUGUUGGAACAGCUACGCUUAAAUGAAAAUUUCAGCACUGACAGAAACUUUGAAUCUGCAGAUCAAGAACUGAGCAAUAGAACAGACGGACAGCUGCAAAGAAAAAGUGAGGACAAAACGUGCUAAAAGGACUUGUAUUGGGUUGUGAGAGCAACUUUCACUCUAACAAGCCUUUAAAAUAAGUAAGGAUGAUGUUGAUA
RNAcentral lists this long non-coding RNA (3079 nucleotides) under Cucumis sativus (cucumber). Its description in RNAcentral is "long non-coding RNA (CSAT_LNC001802)". Lineage: Eukaryota; Viridiplantae; Streptophyta; Magnoliopsida; Cucurbitales; Cucurbitaceae. The record is from RNAcentral.